RNAcentral lists this ribosomal RNA (492 nucleotides) under uncultured bacterium. Its description in RNAcentral is "partial 16S ribosomal RNA". It matches the Rfam family "Bacterial small subunit ribosomal RNA", at positions 29 to 507 of the family's 1533-position model. The record is from RNAcentral.
AGUGAACGCUGGCGGUAGGCCUAACACAUGCAAGUCGAACGGCAGCACAGUAAGAGCUUGCUCUUACGGGUGGCGAGUGGCGGACGGGUGAGGAAUACAUCGGAAUCUACUUUCUCGUGGGGGAUAACGUAGGGAAACUUACGCUAAUACCGCAUACGACCUACGGGUGAAAGCAUGGGAUCUUCGGACCUUGCGCGAUUGAAUGAGCCGAUGUCGGAUUAGCUAGUUGGCGGGGUAAAGGCCCACCAAGGCGACGAUCCGUAGCUGGUCUGAGAGGAUGAUCAGCCACACUGGAACUGAGACACGGUCCAGACUCCUACGGGAGGCAGCAGUGGGGAAUAUUGGACAAAGGGCGCAAGCCUGAUCCAGCCAUACCGCGUGGGUGAAGAAGGCCUUCGGGUUGUAAAGCCCUUUUGUUGGGAAAGAAAAGCAGCAGGUUAAUACCCCGCUGUUCUGACGGUACCCAAAGAAUAAGCACCGGCUAACUUCGUG